This is a non-coding RNA of Pogona vitticeps (central bearded dragon), 700 nucleotides long. Lineage: Eukaryota; Metazoa; Chordata; Lepidosauria; Squamata; Agamidae. The record is from RefSeq and is a predicted model, not a curated record.
UUUACAUUCAGGGAGUCAAGACUACCAGCAUUUCCUCCUAGUGUUCUCGGGUCCCUCCCACCUUCACCUGAUGCAUCAACCUCAGAGAAAAUAAUCCUGAACCCUUUUUAAGACCACAUCCAAACAAAUGCUUCAGGAAACACGCCCUCUGCCUUUCUUCAAGGCCCAGCAUCUGGGCUCCCUUACUGCCAGCAUCUGUCCAAGAUCAGUCUCGGAGAUGUUGCUUUUAUUUGUAGGUAGCCUGUGCUACACAGAGUUCGCGGUCAGUUUGCAGAGAAUCAGCAGAGACCCUGGAGGCAAAAGGUUUCCUUACCACUGUGGACUCGACUCCUUUGGGCUGCAGGGAGAAAGAAAGACUCUUUUAAGUGGACGGGUCGGAUCCAAAGCUAAAGAAAGAAGAAGAUUGGAAUCAAUAUGACUGUCGGCGAGGAAGGUUUCCAUCCCGCUUUCAAACCAUAAAGCCUUUCAAACCAGCCUUGCAUCGCCUCCUGUGACAAAUAGUCACCCUUGCCUUUGCUCAACAGCCAGAGAUCCAGUCAACAGCAUUCAUUAAUCUGACAUGUACAGAGAAAGUGUGAACCAGGACUCAAGAUGAAUCAGAGUGUGAGAAGACAGCAGCCUGUGAAAACCUUUGUUGCCACAUCCUGAGGAUGUGAACCCCACCAGCAACCCCUUGAAGAGAGUGCAUUGUGAUGCAAGG